UUUUAUCGGAGAGUUUGAUCCUGGCUCAGGACGAACGCUGGCGGCGUGCCUAAUACAUGCAAGUCGAGCGGAUUGAUGGGAGCUUGCUCCCUGAUAUCAGCGGCGGACGGGUGAGUAACACGUGGGUAACCUGCCUGUAAGACUGGGAUAACUCCGGGAAACCGGGGCUAAUACCGGAUAACUCAUUUCCUCGCAUGAGGAAAUGUUGAAAGGUGGCUUUUAGCUACCACUUACAGAUGGACCCGCGGCGCAUUAGCUAGUUGGUGAGGUAACGGCUCACCAAGGC
Molecule: ribosomal RNA, 286 nt
Filed under: Bacillus sp. V-88
Lineage: Bacteria; Bacillati; Bacillota; Bacilli; Caryophanales; Bacillaceae
Description: partial 16S ribosomal RNA
Rfam family: Bacterial small subunit ribosomal RNA
Source: RNAcentral